RNAcentral lists this ribosomal RNA (252 nucleotides) under uncultured bacterium. RNAcentral's name for it is "partial 16S ribosomal RNA". It matches the Rfam family "Bacterial small subunit ribosomal RNA", at positions 524 to 776 of the family's 1533-position model. The record is from RNAcentral.
UACGUAGGGGGCUAGCGUUAUCCGGAUUUACUGGGCGUAAAGGGUGCGUAGGUGGUUUCUUAAGUCAGGAGUGAAAGGCUACGGCUCAACCGUAGUAAGCUCUUGAAACUGGGAAACUUGAGUGCAGGAGAGGAGAGUAGAAUUCCUAGUGUAGCGGUGAAAUGCGUAGAUAUUAGGAGGAAUACCAGUUGCGAAGGCGGCUCUCUGGACUGUAACUGACACUGAGGCACGAAAGCGUGGGGAGCAAACAGG